GGCAGGGUGAGUCGACCCCUAAGGCGAGGCCGAAAGGCGUAGUCGAUGGGAAACAGGUUAAUAUUCCUGUACUUGGUGUUACUGCGAAGGGGGGACGGAGAAGGCUAUGUUGGCCGGGCGACGGUUGUCCCGGUUUAAGCGUGUAGGCUGGUUUUCCAGGCAAAUCCGGAAAAUCAAGGCUGAGGCGUGAUGACGAGGCACUACGGUGCUGAAGCAACAAAUGCCCUGCUUCCAGGAAAAGCCUCUAAGCAUCAGGUAACAUCAAAUCGUACCCCAAACCGACACAGGUGGUCAGGUAGAGAAUACCAAGGCGCUUGAGAGAACUCGGGUGAAGGAACUAGGCAAAAUGGUGCCGUAACUUCGGGAGAA
This 369-nucleotide ribosomal RNA is filed under the name Escherichia coli. Its description in RNAcentral is "partial 23S ribosomal RNA". It matches the Rfam family "Bacterial large subunit ribosomal RNA", at positions 1373 to 1744 of the family's 2925-position model. The record is from RNAcentral. Lineage: Bacteria; Pseudomonadati; Pseudomonadota; Gammaproteobacteria; Enterobacterales; Enterobacteriaceae.